GCACAACGCGAAGAACCUUACCAGGGCUUGACAUCCAGAGAAUCCUGUGGAAACACGGGAGUGUCCCUUCGGGGAAACUUUGAGACAGGUGGUGCAUGGUUGUCGUCAGCUCGUGUCGUGAGAUGUUGGGUUAAGUCCCGUAACGAGCGCAACCCUUGUCCUUAGUUACCAGCACGUUAUGGUGGGCACUCUAAGGAGACUGCCGGUGACAAACCGGAGGAAGGUGGGGAUGACGUCAAGUCAUCAUGGCCCUUACGGCCUGGGCUACACACGUGCUACAAUGGUCGGUACAGAGGGUUGCCAAGCCGCGAGGCGGAGCUAAUCUCACAAAACCGAUCGUAGUCCGGAUCGCAGUCUGCAACUCGACUGCGUGAAGUCGGAAUCGCUAGUAAUCGCGAAUCAGAAUGUCGCGGUGAAUACGUUCCCGGGUCUUGUACACACCG
This 443-nucleotide ribosomal RNA is filed under the name uncultured bacterium. RNAcentral describes it as "bacterial SSU rRNA". It matches the Rfam family "Bacterial small subunit ribosomal RNA", at positions 954 to 1392 of the family's 1533-position model. The record is from RNAcentral.